UACGUAGGGCGCAAGCGAUACUCGGAAUCACUAGGCGUAAAGCGCAGGUAGGCGGUUUGGUAAGUCUUUUGUGAAAGCUCCUGGCUCAACUGGGAGAGGUCAAGGGAAACUACCGGACUAGAGUGUGGUAGGGGAUACUGGAAUUCCUGGUGUAGCGGUGAAAUGCGUAGAUAUCAGGAGGAAUACCUAUGGCGAAAGCAGGUAUCUGGGCCAUCACUGACGCUGAGCUGCGAAAGCUAGGGGAGCAAACAGG
Molecule: ribosomal RNA, 253 nt
Filed under: uncultured bacterium
Lineage: Bacteria
Description: partial 16S ribosomal RNA
Rfam family: Bacterial small subunit ribosomal RNA
Source: RNAcentral